RNAcentral lists this unclassified non-coding RNA (369 nucleotides) under Hevea brasiliensis (rubber tree). The record is from RNAcentral. Lineage: Eukaryota; Viridiplantae; Streptophyta; Magnoliopsida; Malpighiales; Euphorbiaceae.
CACAGGACCAUAAGCCCCUUGCACAUAUGAACCAGGUAACACUGGAGGCCUCACCCUCAAGCUGGUGGAUCCCCCUCCAUAUUGGUCAGGUAUAGUAAUUGAAGGUGACUGCACCGGCUGAUAAAAAUGGGGUGCAGAUUCUGGCAGUGAUGUGCCAGCUGGUUGAGGAUGAUGGAAUUUACAAGUUAUACCAAAUUUGCACUGCCCCGUUUUCAAAUAGUAGGAGCAUUCUUUUUCACCCAGUCGUAAUGGGUAUCCAUGUGUAUUUAGUGGAAAAUGGCUCAAGGAUCCACCUCCAUGCUUCGGAUGAUGGAACUUGCAAGAUGCUCCAAAUUUACAGGUUCCAGUCUUCAAAUAAAACUGACAAGG